UGGGAAGCCUUUGAGACCUCUUGGCAGGGA
Molecule: non-coding RNA, 30 nt
Filed under: Homo sapiens (human)
Lineage: Eukaryota; Metazoa; Chordata; Mammalia; Primates; Hominidae
Source: RNAcentral